Molecule: long non-coding RNA, 2497 nt
Organism: Archocentrus centrarchus (flier cichlid)
Lineage: Eukaryota; Metazoa; Chordata; Actinopteri; Cichliformes; Cichlidae
Exons: 3
Source: RefSeq, a predicted model, not a curated record
GUCCAGAGAAGUGACUCAGCUAAAUGUUUCCACAGUGGAUCUGUGGCUGAAUGAGCACAUUUCUACAGGAACCAAUGUGACUGUGAUGAGUCAGCAUUAACUGAAGAUUUGUGCUGAAACAGUGAAUGUGAUCAGCUGCAUUCACCUCUGUUUGUAGAGACUCUGCUGUGUUGUUGAGGAAAACCUGAUGGACUCGGCUGAAUCCCGCCUCUCCCUGCAGGUGUGUCAGACACCAACAGUGUUGGACAGAAGCUCUGCUGUGCUGUUGAGAAAGGCUGGAUGAGCUCAGUCUGAUGCUCCUCUGAAGAAACUCCGAGUUUGCUAAGCUGCAGCUUUAAGUUUCACUUCUGGACUCUGAAGCUGAAGCUCUCGUCUUUCAAGUGUUGCUCCACCUCUACAAGCAGAUGAGAGAUGGUGGCUAAGCAGUGUGUUUUUACUGUGACUGUUUACCAGUAAACAUACUAUCACGGUCCUUCAACCCUCGGUCUUGGACUCAGGGCUUUGAUUUUAGUCUUUCUCUAGUUUUAUAUCUUUUAAUUAUGGUUCUGUAUUCUAGUUUGUUUCUUUAUGUUUGUAUGUAUUCACUCAGGUUGUCUUUGUCCUUUCUUGAUUUCUCCUUCAUGGUUGUGUUUUCCCAGAAAAGCUGUAAUGUUGGGCUAUUUUUUCCUGACCUUGAUUAUAUUGUAUUUUGGCAAGAGCUCAACAUGUUGCAAUACCAAACAAAUGAACCCUGAACAGUAUACCCUUCUCCACUAAGCUGUGCAAUAAAUCAAGCACACAUGCACAGAGACACACACAGAUACAGACCACAGCAGGUUGUCUCUUCAACAUGGAGACGACUGCAAAUCUGGGCUGAACUACAUUAUUUUUUUUGGAAAACAGUGAAAUUCCAGGAAACAUCCCUCAGCGUGGAGCGCUGAAACUGAUUUCCAGGUCACAAUCAGGAGGAUGGACAAAACAAAGAGGGAUUGUGGCAGCAAGAGAGAGAAGGAGGGUGGGGGAAACCAAUAAUGACACACACAAGGAUGAUGGUUUGGUGACUGAGAGCUCAAAAGCUGUAUGAUUACAGAAAAAAAAACUUAAAGAUAACAACCCCACACUGGGAAUUUCACCCAGGGAAUAUCUAGUUUAAAACCAAACCAAUUACCAAACAAUCACUUAGAUCCGUUAUACCUCAGACAGAGAUGUGGUUCAAGUCAUUAACAAAUUAGUUUAUUGGCAACUAUCCCAAAAAAAAAAAAAAUCAAUAAACAGAAGAGCCGUCAAACCCAUCGUACAUUUACUGUUAAUCAACUCAGAGCUGCUGCAGUGGAUUCCUAAGAAAACAGUCUGCUUUGAUGAGUUUGACCCACAUCAGUACAGGAAGGAGGAGCCUGAGAUUUACUGAGAUCAGCAGCAGACUUUGAGACUGUGAGAGUGAAUAAAUGUGUGAAAAUGACUCGGCUCUGUGUUUUACAGCAUCAUGGACCACAACUUCUAACUGUGAAUGAUGCAAAGAAUGACAUCAGUUCAGGACUGAUCUGCUCACUCAGGAGUGUGGAUGCUCUCUGUCACCAUCAGCUGCAAAGCCAACAAACUGUGUGCGUCAUUUCUUCAGAGACUCCUUCAUAACUGCAGGAUGUCUCAGACAGCAGCCUCGGUGCAGAGCUGCAGCCCAACAAGAAGAAAGAAGAAGCUGCACAGCUGAUCUUUGUACGAACUCUGAUGUCUUUAAGAUUCAGCAGGAAUAUGAAAUAUGGUCCUUUGUGUCAAAUCUAUCCAGUAAGACAUUUAUGAAUACAUUUGAUCUGCAGUCACAAACUAGUGACUGCUGUGUGUUCAUCUGUGUGUGUUUGUCUCCAUCUAGUGCUCCGAGUCUUUGAAUGAAGCUUUCAAAUGAAGUUUGAUGUUCAGAGUUCAGCUGUGGCUUUAACUCACUCUGAAGGUUCAAACAUGUCAGCAGGUUAUGGCAUCAAAUGGAAAACACAGUGUUAAUGAACAUUUCCAUCAUCUGUGUCCCUCCUCAGUUCCUCAGUUAGUUUCUUCUUUCCUUGGAUGAAGGAAGCUCCAGUGUGUCCUCUGAUAAAGGCAGGAAUAAAGGAAGCACUGAAGCAGCUUUCCUCAGUAUUCACAGGAUCUGAGCAGCCAUGUGUCCGUCUGAAUUUUUCUGCUUAACACUGUAUCUACCCAACAGCUCCUUAUCACCUGUUUCCUUCACUUAUGUGUCCACUGAAGUCUGCUGCAAUCACCACUCUAUCACUUCAUCCAAAUUAUUCCUCUUUGUCUUCAUCCAGCCUGUGGAGCGUACACACUGACAACAUUUAACACAAGCCCUUCAGUUUCUAGCUUCAAACCCAUGAUUUUUUGUCUGUAUAAUAACAAUAAUUUUUUUUUUUUUUUUUUUUUUUUAAUUUAUGAGCAGAAACAACUGUGUGAAACUGAGUGUUUAGAGCAGUCUGAGCUUUUGGCUCACAGGGAUUACUUUUACAUACACUGAGCUCAUUCUUUGAACCUUUGG